CUCCUACGGGAGGCAGCAGUGAGGAAUAUUGGUCAAUGGACGCAAGUCUGAACCAGCCAUGCCGCGUGAAGGAUGAAGGCCUUCUGGGUUGUAAACUUCUUUACCUGGUAAGAAACUCUUUUUCUAAGUAGAGUUGACGGUACCAGACGGAAUAAGCACCGGCUAACUCCGUGCCAGCAGCCGCGGUAAUAC
This 192-nucleotide ribosomal RNA is filed under the name uncultured bacterium. Its description in RNAcentral is "partial 16S ribosomal RNA". It matches the Rfam family "Bacterial small subunit ribosomal RNA", at positions 336 to 526 of the family's 1533-position model. The record is from RNAcentral.